CCUACGGGUGGCAGCAGUGGGGAAUAUUGGGCAAUGGGCGCAAGCCUGACCCAGCAACGCCGCGUGAAGGAAGAAGGCUUUCGGGUUGUAAACUUCUUUUAUCAGGGACGAAGCAAGUGACGGUACCUGAGGAAUAAGCCACGGCUAACUACGUGCCAGCAGCCGCAGUAAUACGUAGGUGGCAAGCGUUAUCCGGAUUUCAUGGGUGUAAAGGGGGUGUAGGCGGGAGUGCAAGUCAGAUGUGAAAACUAUGGGCUCAACCCAUAGCCUGCAUUUGAAACUGUACUUCUUGAGUGCUGGAGAGGCAAUCGGAAUUCCGUGUGUAGCGGUGAAAUGCGUAGAUAUACGGAGGAACACCAGUGGCGAAGGCGGAUUGCUGGACAGUAACUGACGCUGAGGCGCGAAAGCGUGGGGGGCAAACAGGAUUAGAUACCCCUGUAGUC
Molecule: ribosomal RNA, 443 nt
Filed under: uncultured bacterium
Lineage: Bacteria
Description: partial 16S ribosomal RNA
Rfam family: Bacterial small subunit ribosomal RNA
Source: RNAcentral